AGCAGCCGCGGUAAUUCCAGCUCCAAUAGCGUAUAUUAAAGUUGUUGCAGUUAAAAAGCUCGUAGUUGAAUUUCGAGACCGGUUUACUGGUCGUGCUUUUGUACGUACUGGUAUUAUUGGUUUCUCCUUUCUGACGAAUUAUAAUGCCAUUAAUUUGGUGUUUUGGGGAAUCAGGACUGUUACUUUGAAAAAUUAGAGUGUUUAAAGCAGGCUCACGCUUGAAUACAUUAGCAUGGAAUAACGGAAUAGGACGUUUGAUUUUAUUUUGUUGGUUUCUAGGAUCGACGUAAUGAUUAAUAGGGAUAGUUGGGGGCAUUAGUAUUCAAUUGUCAGAGGUGAAAUUCUUGGAUUUAUUGAAGACUAACUACUGCGAAAGCAUUUGCCAAGGAUGUUUUCAUUAAUCAAGAACGAAAGUUAGGGGAUCGAAGACGAUCAGAUACCGUCGUAGUCUUAACCAUAAACUAUGCCGACUAGGGAUCGGAUGAUGUUAAUUUUUAAU
This 499-nucleotide ribosomal RNA is filed under the name uncultured Glomus. Its description in RNAcentral is "SSU rRNA". It matches the Rfam family "Eukaryotic small subunit ribosomal RNA", at positions 569 to 1074 of the family's 1831-position model. Lineage: Eukaryota; Fungi; Glomeromycota; Glomeromycetes; Glomerales; Glomeraceae. The record is from RNAcentral.